RNAcentral lists this ribosomal RNA (1341 nucleotides) under uncultured bacterium. RNAcentral's name for it is "16S ribosomal RNA". It matches the Rfam family "Bacterial small subunit ribosomal RNA", at positions 28 to 1381 of the family's 1533-position model. The record is from RNAcentral.
GACGAACGCUGGCGGCGUGCUUAACACAUGCAAGUCGAACGGUAAGGCUCCAGCUUGCUGGGGUACACGAGUGGCGAACGGGUGAGUAACACGUGGGUGACCUGCCCUGCACUUCGGGAUAAGCCUGGGAAACUGGGUCUAAUACCGGAUAGGACCGCACCGUGAGGGUGUGGUGGAAAGUUUUUUCGGUGUGGGAUGGGCCCGCGGCCUAUCAGCUUGUUGGUGGGGUAAUGGCCUACCAAGGCGGCGACGGGUAGCCGGCCUGAGAGGGUGGACGGCCACAUUGGGACUGAGACACGGCCCAGACUCCUACGGGAGGCAGCAGUGGGGAAUAUUGCACAAUGGGCGGAAGCCUGAUGCAGCGACGCCGCGUGGGGGAUGACGGCCUUCGGGUUGUAAACUCCUUUCACCAUCGACGAAGGGUUUCUGACGGUAGAUGGAGAAGAAGCACCGGCUAACUACGUGCCAGCAGCCGCGGUAAUACGUAGGGUGCGAGCGUUGUCCGGAAUUACUGGGCGUAAAGAGCUCGUAGGUGGUUUGUCGCGUCGUCUGUGAAAUUCCGGGGCUUAACUCCGGGCGUGCAGGCGAUACGGGCAUAACUUGAGUACUGUAGGGGAGACUGGAAUUCCUGGUGUAGCGGUGAAAUGCGCAGAUAUCAGGAGGAACACCGGUGGCGAAGGCGGGUCUCUGGGCAGUAACUGACGCUGAGGAGCGAAAGCAUGGGGAGCGAACAGGAUUAGAUACCCUGGUAGUCCAUGCCGUAAACGGUGGGCGCUAGGUGUGGGUUUCCUUCCACGGGAUCCGUGCCGUAGCUAACGUAUUAAGCGCCCCGCCUGGGGAGUACGGCCGCAAGGCUAAAACUCAAAGGAAUUGACGGGGGCCCGCACAAGCGGCGGAGCAUGUGGAUUAAUUCGAUGCAACGCGAAGAACCUUACCUGGGCUUGACAUAUACAGGAUCGCGCCAGAGAUGGUGUUUCCCUUGUGGCUUGUAUACAGGUGGUGCAUGGUUGUCGUCAGCUCGUGUCGUGAGAUGUUGGGUUAAGUCCCGCAACGAGCGCAACCCUUGUCUUAUGUUGCCAGCACGUUGUGGUGGGGACUCGUAAGAAACUGCCGGGGUUAACUCGGAGGAAGGUGGGGAUGACGUCAAAUCAUCAUGCCCCUUAUGUCCAGGGCUUCACACAUGCUACAAUGGUCGGUACAGUGGGUUGCCAGUCCGUGAGGGCGAGCUAAUCCCGCAAAGCCGGUCUCAGUUCGGAUCGGGGUCUGCAACUCGACCCCGUGAAGUCGGAGUCGCUAGUAAUCGCAGAUCAGCAACGCUGCGGUGAAUACGUUCCCGGGCCU